RNAcentral lists this ribosomal RNA (460 nucleotides) under uncultured bacterium. RNAcentral describes it as "partial 16S ribosomal RNA". It matches the Rfam family "Bacterial small subunit ribosomal RNA", at positions 338 to 795 of the family's 1533-position model. The record is from RNAcentral.
CCUACGGGAGGCAGCAGUGAGGAAUAUUGGUCAAUGGGCGUAAGCCUGAACCAGUCAAGUCACGUGAGGGAUGAAGGUUCUAUGGAUCGUAAACCUCUUUUAUAAGGGAAUAAAGUGUGGGACGUGUCCUGUUUUGUAUGUACCUUAUGAAUAAGGAUCGGCUAACUCCGUGCCAGCAGCCGCGGUAAUACGGAGGAUCCGAGCGUUAUCCGGAUUUAUUGGGUUUAAAGGGUGCGUAGGCGGCCUUUUAAGUCAGCGGUGAAAGUCUGUGGCUCAACCAUAGAAUUGCCGUUGAAACUGGGAGGCUUGAGUAUGUUUGAGGCAGGCGGAAUGCGUGGUGUAGCGGUGAAAUGCUUAGAUAUCACGCAGAACCCCGAUUGCGAAGGCAGCCUGCCAAGCCAUGACUGACGCUGAUGCACGAAAGCGUGGGGAUCAAACAGGAUUAGAUACCCGGGUAGUC